RNAcentral lists this ribosomal RNA (274 nucleotides) under uncultured bacterium. RNAcentral's name for it is "partial 16S ribosomal RNA". It matches the Rfam family "Bacterial small subunit ribosomal RNA", at positions 523 to 796 of the family's 1533-position model. The record is from RNAcentral.
AUACUGAGGGUGCAAGCGUUAAUCGGAAUUACUGGGCGUAAAGCGCACGUAGGCGGUUUAUUAAGUCAGAUGUGAAAGCCCUGGGCUUAACCUGGGAACUGCAUUUGAGACUGGUAGGCUAGAGUAUGGUAGAGGAUAGUGGAAUUCCGGGUGUAGCGGUGAAAUGCGUAGAUAUCCGGAGGAACAUCAGUGGCGAAGGCGGCUAUCUGGACCAAUACUGACGCUGAGGUGCGAAAGCGUGGGGAGCAAACAGGAUUAGAAACCCUAGUAGUCC